GGGAAUUCUGUGGCUCAGUGGCAAAGCAUCUGCCUUGCGUUCAGAAGGUCCCAGGUUCUAUCCCCAGUGGCAUCCCCA
This is a non-coding RNA of Podarcis lilfordi (Lilford's wall lizard), 78 nucleotides long. The record is from the annotation of a GenBank genome assembly. NCBI's taxonomy places the organism in Eukaryota, Metazoa, Chordata, Lepidosauria, Squamata, Lacertidae.